AUUGAUAGACCAAAAGAAUUGUGCAAUGACCUUGGAUAUUCAAGAGAUCUUGGACUCUCCUAUUCAUGAUGUUGCCUCUCCAUGGCUGACUACUACUCUCAACCCGUUUAUUUAUGUAUGUAGAUCAUCAGCCACUUGACUCAUUGAGUAAAUUUAACUAACGAAGGCCCUCAACUAAUACAUGUGUCAUUAGUUGUUGCCUGGUGCAUGAAUUGUCUUGUGGCUUAGGCUAGGUGAGCCAAGUCAAAAUCAAAUUGUUAUACUUGGAUUGUUACACUCUUACAUAGAAAGAGUUGAGCUUUGAUUAUUAGCUAUAACUUUUGGCUUAGUGGUAAGUGCCUAAUCCAACAAUUAGUGUCAAAGCCAAAGUCAGGAGUUUGAUUUGCGGUAGGGUAGUUGUUGAAGGGGAGAUUGUUGGCAAAUUACAUAAAUUGUCUUACGGUGUAAGUCCAAGUGGUCCAAGUCAUAAUCAAAGUGUAGUACUUUGGUUGUUAUGUUCUUAAGUAGAAAGAGUUGCACCCUGACUACCAAAUAUAGUUUUCGGUCUAGUGUUAAGUGCUUGAUUCAAAAGUAGUAACCCACUAAAACACUCGGGGAACACAACCUCUAGGUUAACAAACUAAUUCAGCAGCCCACAGUUACAUUUUAGAACUUUCAAUUGCUAUUUAUGUUUUGAAGUUUUUAAUCCUUUAGCUUUCAUGAAAAUUUUCUUUCCGAUUUGCAU
Molecule: small RNA, 724 nt
Filed under: Vigna angularis var. angularis
Lineage: Eukaryota; Viridiplantae; Streptophyta; Magnoliopsida; Fabales; Fabaceae
Description: Non-protein coding transcript
Source: RNAcentral